RNAcentral lists this non-coding RNA (29 nucleotides) under Bombyx mori (domestic silkworm). Lineage: Eukaryota; Metazoa; Arthropoda; Insecta; Lepidoptera; Bombycidae. The record is from RNAcentral.
UGACUAAUAAAGAUGGGACGACAAACAAC